GGCGUAUUUUGCGACGGCGGAGCUCGACCGCCCAUUCAAACGAUGACGGCGUUCAUCGACGUUCAUCGACGAUCAUCGUGAUGUCUAUGGGGUCGAGCCGAUCUGCCGGGUCCUGUAGAUCGCCCCG
This is a regulatory RNA element of Lutibaculum baratangense AMV1, 127 nucleotides long. It matches the Rfam family "ALIL pseudoknot". Lineage: Bacteria; Pseudomonadati; Pseudomonadota; Alphaproteobacteria; Hyphomicrobiales; Tepidamorphaceae. The record is from Rfam.